GGAGGGUUGGCAGAAUGGUAAUGCACCACUUUCGAAAAGUGGCGAGUGAAAGCUCUUGCAGGUUCGAGUCCUGUGCCCUCCG
This 82-nucleotide transfer RNA is filed under the name Candidatus Wolfebacteria bacterium. RNAcentral describes it as "tRNA-Ser". It matches the Rfam family "tRNA". Rfam says of the family: Transfer RNA (tRNA) molecules are approximately 80 nucleotides in length. Their secondary structure includes four short double-helical elements and three loops (D, anti-codon, and T loops). Lineage: Bacteria; Candidatus Wolfeibacteriota. The record is from RNAcentral.